This is a long non-coding RNA of Corylus avellana, 2057 nucleotides long. RefSeq lists it as uncharacterized. The record is from RefSeq and is a predicted model, not a curated record. Lineage: Eukaryota; Viridiplantae; Streptophyta; Magnoliopsida; Fagales; Betulaceae.
GCGUUGGACUGAAAAAUUUUUGGCGCUGGCCUUAUUCCCUUUUCCCUAAUUUUCUUUUCCCUCUUUCCCCUAUUCUACUUUGUCUCUGCAGAUUAGGAAUUUUCCCUCUUCUUCGUCUCUCACCUUUCCCUCUUCUUCAUCUCUCACGUUUCCCUCUGAUCUUAACUGCAAUCGGCACUCACGUUGGGUCUCUUCAUCUUCUUCUUCGAUCUCUCACGUUCUCCCUCUGAUCUCCUCCGCAAUCCGUGGCCAGCAUCCUAGAACCUGCAGGCUUGGGACCCUUUCUUGAGGUGGUGGAGUGACCGGGGACCAGAUUUGCUGAGCAUCCUCAACCAAACCUUCUAGAUUUUUCUGAUAAGAAAGAGAGAAAUUGGAGUAAGGGGGAGAAAACCCAUUGUUUCUGGCUCACCAUCCGAACAGUGCAAAGUGACCAUCUGAAUGGCCCCUGCCUAGUGUGUAGGUACCAUGGCUGAGUCUUCCAAUGCUCAUGGUCCAUCAUGCCUUACAAUGAGUUGUUCAAGCCCUCAUUCCUCCUAAUGCCAUAUCUGAACUUCCUAAAAAAUUUGCUGCACUAUCAGAUCAGGUGACAGAUAUGGGCUCUCAAAUGGAAUCUUCCAUUCAAGGACUACUUUAAGCAACAAGGUUGAUGGGAUUUCUCCAAUAUGGAGAAUGAUUUUUGCAGCCCCUUUAAUCAUUUGUGAUAAAAAGGGGGAGUAGCAUUGGUUAAUGGAGAGUAGUUAUGACUAAGGAGGAGUCAUGUCUAUUAUUGGACUGCUGAUUUUAUUUCUGCCACUGUUGGGAGUUUAUGUUUAUUGCAAAUAUUCUGUCUAGAUUUUUGCAAUAUUUUAUUUAGUGCUUUUAUCAUCGAAAUGCCAAAGGGGGAGUUUGUUAUAUAUUUUUGUCAAAUAUGUAAUUGGCCAAUUUAUAUGAUCAAAACCUUGUAAUUGCAUCCAACAUGUAAAUUGGCACCUUCAGGAGCACCUGGUAGCAGUUCUAGGAAACCAUUGUCCGAACGUCAAGAAGGACCAUCCAAAUGUGCAGCAGGAUGAAGACUUCCAGUACUAAUUCCUGAAAGCUCGAUUCUCUGGGCGUUCUUAGACCGUUCGAACGGUAAAGAUGAUACUGGUUCUGUUAAGUCCUCAAAAUGGACCACUAAAGCUAGGGUUGCCACGUGUCAACAGCACAUGUAACCUAGUCACGUUCGAAGCCCCGUUCGAACGGAAGUGUGUGGGAGGACAACUAUUGUGGCCGACAACUUAAAUGCUCAUGGAAAACACUGGAGUAGGUGGCCAUUAAAUGCGCCACGUCCAAACGGUAAAAGUCAGAGUUCAAACGGCAAAUGGUCAAUGGUCAAUUGAAAAUGGACGAUAGAUUAAAUGCUUCCAGGAGACACGAGAGUUGGUAGCAUUUAUGACUGCUCCAUCCAAAUGGCAAUCAAGAUCGUCCGUACGGUCAGUUUGUUGGUGGUUAGCACCGCGAAUUAAAUGCAUGCGGGAAUCCCAAGAAAGCUAUCCCAUGUCGCCACUUCAGCACGUGAACUCAAGCCAUCCGAAUGGCCAGCUCAGCCGUUCGAACAUUUUGUAAGAAAUUGCAUUAAUUGAAGCUGAAGGGGCAACUCAUUACUGACUAUAAAUAAAGCACUCGUGCUCCUCAUUUUGAUCAAGGAAAACAGAGGGCAAAAGUAGGAAAUUGAGAGAAAAAUCCUAAGUGCUUUGAGUGAGUUUUUCCUUGUGUGCUAGGAAAGGUUUUAUGUUGUGAGCUUAGUCUCUAUACUCUCCUAGAGUUGUACAGUAAUUUAUUUUCAGCAACUUGUGUGUAAAUAGUCGAGGUAACUUGCAGCUUGUUAGAGGUUAUGGUAAGGAAAGUCGAUAAGAGGGGUACCAGAGGUUCAGGGGGGACUACCGCGGUAGCCGAGCAAGAAGGGUCACUUCUCUAGACAAGUUCGUGUCAACUACAAAGGUUUUGUAAGUGUGAGCAACUUAUAUUUCCUCAUCCUUUUAUAGUAAACGAUUUCCUGGGUCCGCAACCCUGGAGUGUUUUUCCUUGAAGAGGUUCUU